UAGUGUUUGUCUCAUGGUGCAGAGAAGAUUAAUGGCAUGCAAGAACUGGAAGUCCUCCUAGAAGAGUGGGGGAAAAAAAGAAAAAAAAAGAGCAGGACAAUUUGGAAUUAAAUCAUUUUGGCAGAAUGGACCACCAUCAUUCAGAUUUAACUGGGGCACAGACUGCUUUAACUCACCAGCUGAAGUACCCUUCUUCAAGAAGCUUGGCCAUGGAGACUACCAUUUCAUAAAUAUCUUCCAUUUCCCAGCAGCUUUGCCUUGUCUUGAGCUUGCACAAGGGAAAAAGGAAGGCCCAGGAGUCACCAACUACUCAAUAAAGAAGAAAGAACAUUCCUGUGUCUGCCAUGGAACAGUACAAAACAGCAAAGACGAAAAGUAUGUGUUGUAUUUGUGGUUAAGAGGACAGCAAAGGGAGAGGAAGCCCCAAGAUUUACAAAAAAAAAAAAAAAAAAAAAAAAAAAAAAAAAAAAAAACCAAACCCAAAAAACCCAAAAAAACAAAACCAAAAAAAAAAAACCCACCAAACUGAUUUGUGAUGGUCACAAUAACUAGAUGGAAAAAAGCCACUAUGUAUUUCAAUUCCAGUUAAAUUAAAGCCUGUUUCUGCUUAAUACUUUUGAUAAUUUGUCCAUGAGCACUUCAUUAUUUAAACAGCUUCAAUAGUUCAUGUGGUACAGCCAAGUUUAGAAAGGAUUUAUUUAACAUGCCAUUACAGCAAUUAGCCCCAGGGAAAGUUCAGCUUGCAUACCCGGCUUCUAAAUAUGUCUUGAGUUUGUAUUUAUCAAGCGAGUUUCCUUUUUCCCCCCUACUGAGUAUAAACUUUUCCUUUUUUUCCCUUACCUCACAGUUUCUCUGAAGCUUUCAACCUGAGCUCUCUUCUGAGCACCUGGCACACUGGGGCUCCAAUCCAGAGGUCCCUUCCACCUUCUCUCCUGAGGACACCGGCACAAUGUCUGUCCUCGGCCAGGUGCAUCUGUCAGGCCACAUGUGUCGGUCAGGAUCUUGCCUGCAGGAGUAAGCACAUAAAGACAGGAUGUCUGAGAGGCAGAAAGGAGAUUCAGGAUGUUGAAGUUCAGUUUUGAGCUCUGAUGUGACUUGAGGCAAGUCAUGUAGUCAUUACCUGUAUCUCGGCUCUCCACAUCUGCACGGUGAUGGUUGUAGUUUGCCUCCACCAUGGUUACUCAGUCUGUAGUGGAUGAGCUAUCACCUGCAAUAUUUGCUUACGUCAGGCAGCACAUCAAGGGUCCAGUCUCACUCUGGGCCUCCAGACACAACCAUUCCUCAAAAAGCGUUUUGAACCCUAUGACUUUGAAGACACCUUCACAAGAAAGAAUGACAUUCUGCACAGUGGAGGAAAUGAGUUCUUCUGGUCCCCAAAAAAUCUGGGUUUGAGUUUUCUAGGACAUCAUAUUAAAAAAAAAAGAAGAAAAAAAAAGGGAAAAAAAAGAAGAAAUUAUAUUUUCUCUCAUAAAUAAAAGCCAUUUUAUUAUCUUCUGAAUCCA
This 1502-nucleotide long non-coding RNA is filed under the name Serinus canaria (Common canary). Its description in RNAcentral is "lncRNA (ENSSCAG00000011568.1)". Lineage: Eukaryota; Metazoa; Chordata; Aves; Passeriformes; Fringillidae. The record is from RNAcentral.